UAAACUAGGAGAUUCUCCUUGAGUUGAUAGCAAUGGAAUUUCAAUUCUGCUGAGGAGGCAGCCUAUCGGCCCACUCUUUUUUGUACUGAUUCGGUGGACUCUAGCCGGUGUUAACUCUGAUCCCCACCUUGUUUUACGAUAUGACAUCGCUUGUUGGAUGGGGUUUAUUGCAGAUCUUUUCUAUUUUAGGAUACAAAGUCUUCUCAACUUUUUUUAUGUUUCGGGGUUCAUUUGCUUCUAAAUGAAAAAAGUACGGCGUAGGAGUGGUGAUGUUGGUAAUUCAGAUGAAUGGUAUAUGUUUCGAGCAGUGGGAGGAAAUCAUUUCUUGUUUGCUUUGCUUUUUUAGUGCUUGUGACUUUUGGUUUCUCUUAGUGAUGAUUUUGGCUCGAUCUCUCACGCAAAUCUUAUAAGUUUGCAUCCGUACUUCUAGUCUUGUUUGCUACCAAACGGAACGGCUAGAGUGCCGAUUACCUUUAUUUCCGUAUUUUUAAUUGUUAGAUCAAAUACAAAGGUUUAUAUUUUGUUAUAAGCAUUUUGUCACCUCAACCUCAUUUCGGUUAAUGAUAUUUAUAUUCUUAGCAAAAAAAAAAAAGUCAUAAUCGAAAAAGAAAAUAACUCUUGUCAUGGUUUCUUACCGAAUCGAGUAAACAUGGUGACCUUCUUCAAAGUUAGUUUCUUGUAUAUAUUUUUGCUCAUUUUUAUAGUUUGUAAAUAACUAUUUUUGGGUAUCGCACGAGUUAGACAAUUACAUAGGUAAACGGUUUGUUCCUUUUUUUUGAACUCUA
This 785-nucleotide long non-coding RNA is filed under the name Brassica napus (rape). Its description in RNAcentral is "long non-coding RNA (BNAP_LNC008824)". The record is from RNAcentral. Lineage: Eukaryota; Viridiplantae; Streptophyta; Magnoliopsida; Brassicales; Brassicaceae.